UUUGUUUAUUUCAUGGGUCGGUAAUACCGGUCAGAUCAUUGUUCAAUCUGCGAGGCAAGCCCCUAAUUCCAGCCCGGCCUGUACACAAAAAAAGAUCCCCGGGGGGAGGGAGAAAAAUCGUAACAAGCGGGCCCCCCCGGGCACCUGCACUAAGAUUGGUAGUUAAAAAAAUCGUAACAAGGUUUCCGUAGGUGAACCUGCGGAAGGAUCAUUACCGAGUUGACUCGAGCUCCGGCUCGACUCUCCCACCCUAUGUGUCCCUACCUCUGUUGCUUUUGGCGGGCCGCGGUCCUCCGCACCGGCCCCCCUUCGGGGGGCUGGCCAGCGCCCGCCAGAGGACCACAAAACUCCAGUCAGUAAACGUCGCAGUCUGAAAAACAAGUUAAUAAACUAAAACUUUCAACAACGGAUCUCUUGGUUCUGGCAUCGAUGAAGAACGCAGCGAAAUGCGAUAAGUAAUGUGAAUUGCAGAAUUCAGUGAAUCAUCGAAUCUUUGAACGCACAUUGCGCCCCUUGGUAUUCCGAGGGGCAUGCCUGUUCGAGCGUCAUUUCAACCCUCAAGCUCUGCUUGGUAUUGGGCUCCGUCCUCCACGGACGCGCCUCGAAGACCUCGGCGGUGGCGUCUUACCUCGAGCGUAGUAGAAAACACCUCGCUUUGGAGCGCACGGCGUCGCCCGCCCGGACGAACCUUUGGAUUUUUCUCAAGGUUGACCUCGGAUCAGGUAGGGAUACCCGCUGAACUUAAGCAUUAAAACGGGAAAGAAAAACUCGGACUAAGGGGGUUUACCCGCUGAACUUAUGUAUAUCUAACGACUGGGGAAAGAAUAUUCCCCCGUUUUAGCUUUAUGCGAAUGGGUCAUUGGAAAAUAGUUUUUUGAUUCUCUUUUGUGGGAAGAUAACCCGAAAAAGUCAACGACAACCCAUCAGUUUUUUUGUAUACAUCUCCACUCAGGUGGGACUCCCUGCUGACCUUAGAUUUUAUAAUCAUG
RNAcentral lists this ribosomal RNA (989 nucleotides) under Neofusicoccum mediterraneum. RNAcentral describes it as "eukaryotic LSU rRNA". The stretch from base 395 to 548 matches the Rfam family "5.8S ribosomal RNA". The record is from RNAcentral. Lineage: Eukaryota; Fungi; Ascomycota; Dothideomycetes; Botryosphaeriales; Botryosphaeriaceae.